Non-coding RNA from Lacerta agilis (Sand lizard), 72 nucleotides. The record is from the annotation of a RefSeq genome assembly. NCBI's taxonomy places the organism in Eukaryota, Metazoa, Chordata, Lepidosauria, Squamata, Lacertidae.
AGGGCUGUAGCUCAGUGGUAGAGCAUCUGUCUUGCAUGCAGAAGGUUCCAGGUUCAAUCCCUGGCAUCUCCU